UACGGAGGGGGCUAGCGUUGCUCGGAAUCACUGGGCGUAAAGCGCACGUAGGCGGACUCUUAAGUCGGUGGUGAAAUCCUGGAGCUCAACUCCAGAACUGCCUUCGAUACUGAGAGUCUCGAGUCCGGGAGAGGUGAGUGGAACUGCGAGUGUAGAGGUGAAAUUCGUAGAUAUUCGCAAGAACACCAGUGGCGAAGGCGGCUCACUGGCCCGGUACUGACGCUGAGGUGCGAAAGCGUGGGGAGCAAACAGG
This 253-nucleotide ribosomal RNA is filed under the name uncultured bacterium. RNAcentral describes it as "partial 16S ribosomal RNA". It matches the Rfam family "Bacterial small subunit ribosomal RNA", at positions 524 to 776 of the family's 1533-position model. The record is from RNAcentral.